GAGAUAGGAUUUUGUGAGAAU
Molecule: small nuclear RNA, 21 nt
Filed under: Arabidopsis thaliana (thale cress)
Lineage: Eukaryota; Viridiplantae; Streptophyta; Magnoliopsida; Brassicales; Brassicaceae
Description: snRNA_11551
Source: RNAcentral